UACGUAGGGUGCAAGCGUUGUCCGGAAUUAUUGGGCGUAGAGGGCUCGUAGGCGGUCCAUCGCGUCGGGAGUGAAAAGCUGGGGCUUAACCCCAGUCCUGCUUCCGAUACGGGUGGACUAGAGGUAGGUAGGGGAGAUCGGAAUUCCUGGUGUAGCGGUGAAAUGCGCAGAUAUCAGGAGGAACACCGGUGGCGAAGGCGGAUCUCUGGGCCUUACCUGACGCUGAGGAGCGAAAGCGUGGGGAGCGAACAGG
RNAcentral lists this ribosomal RNA (253 nucleotides) under uncultured bacterium. RNAcentral's name for it is "partial 16S ribosomal RNA". It matches the Rfam family "Bacterial small subunit ribosomal RNA", at positions 524 to 776 of the family's 1533-position model. The record is from RNAcentral.